AGACAGUCUCACACAGACAGUCUCACACAGACAGUCUCACACAGACAGUCUCACACAGACAGUCUCACACAGACAGUCACACACUCACACAGACAGUCACACACAGACAGUCACACACUCACAUAGACAGUCACACACAGACAGUCACACACUCACACAGACAGUCUCACACAGACAGUCACACACUCACACAGACAGUCACACAGUCUCACACAGUCUCACACAGUCACACAGUCUCACACAGACAGUCACACAGUCUCACACAGACAGUCUCACACAGACAGUCACACAGUCUCACACAAACAGUCACACACUCACACAGAC
This is a non-coding RNA of Pelobates cultripes (western spadefoot toad), 324 nucleotides long. NCBI's taxonomy places the organism in Eukaryota, Metazoa, Chordata, Amphibia, Anura, Pelobatidae. The record is from the annotation of a GenBank genome assembly.